UCACCACAGAUUUGCAGAAAAAAUUCAAAACCCAUUUAUAGACCAAGGGAUCCGUAUUUCUGGCCUCUUGGAAUGUCUGUUGCAGUAGCUGUGUAAUCUUCAUGAUUUGAGAAUUGCUUUUAGUAAUUUGACCUAAACGUGGUGUAAUUUUCCGUUUUUGAGUAAAGCAAUAGUUUUUGAGCUCUUUUUUCUCAGAAAUCGGGGCUACUACUUCAGUCUUAAUCUUAUGAAUGAUGGACCAAGCCAUAUUUGAGUCCUCUUCAGGAUCGUCUUUAAAUGUUUCCUUCAUUCUCUUUUCCCGAGCUUCUUCUUCUUUCCUUUUAGCGUCAAUUUGCUCCUGCUUUAAUCGCCUUUGUUCAUUCUCCUUGUGUUUUUGCUCUUCUAUCAGCCUGAUUCUUUCUUUUUCUUUUUUUUCCUUUUCCAUCAAUUCUUUUUUUCUUCUCUCCUCUUCAUCUUUCAGUCUUUGGCGUUCUGCUUCGAUACGCUUUUUUUCCAACAAUUCACGAUUAAAUCGUUCCUGUUCUAACCUUUGUUUCUCUGAAAAAAUUCUUUGAGAUUCAGUUAUACUUUGUUCAAUUAAAUUUUGCUCUUCAACAUUCCUCUUCUUUGCCCAAUCUAUCGUUUUAUGCAACGGUGGGAAAAUACGCACAUUUUCAUCGGCAAUUACAGGAAAUGGAGAUUGUUUUUUAGGCUUAUACCUUUGUGAUAUCUAAGAACAUUAUUAAUAAAAAUAAUAUUAAUAGAAAAUCGAAUACUUACUAUGUGAAUCAUUCGCCGUGUUUUUUCAUUAUAUAUAUCCCAUAAAUCAUCAAUGUCAAGACCGUUAGCAUCGUUAUAACUAGAUAUUAUUUUUUCAUCGAGUUUAGCAUGGAUUAAAGGUGUUGUUUUUGUAUCCAUAACUGAAAUUUCCUGAAAUUGAGGAAAUUGGUAAAAGGACGAUUUGGAAUGGACAUUCACUAUGCGAAACUCAAAUUGAUCGAAACUUGAUGCUUGCUUUAAUUAACAUUACAAGUGUCAAAACUAUAAAAGUCUUAGGUUAUUAGAUUGUAU
Non-coding RNA from Schizosaccharomyces pombe (fission yeast), 1050 nucleotides. NCBI's taxonomy places the organism in Eukaryota, Fungi, Ascomycota, Schizosaccharomycetes, Schizosaccharomycetales, Schizosaccharomycetaceae. The record is from the annotation of a GenBank genome assembly.